CCCAUGAGUAACGCCAACGAACCCCACAUAACGAAUAUCAAAAUAAAUCCCGAUAACCUUUAUCGAGAAGAGUCCUUCACGGACCUGACGUAUGCCACGAUCCGGCGUCUUAUGCCCGUCAAGAUUGACGGCUCGCCUGAUGAAAGCCGGGAACCCCUUUUCACCGGCAUGGCCCAGUUGAUGUCCCCCAACGGACCGAUUCCGAUUCAGUGUGUGAUUGAAGGGGCCAAGACCCUCAGCGAUGCAGCCGCUAAAUUACCCGACGCCAUUGAAAAAGCUGUUCAGGCCAUGAUUGCCGAGGCAAAGGAAUUGGCGGGAGAGC
This 322-nucleotide ribosomal RNA is filed under the name uncultured prokaryote. RNAcentral describes it as "partial 16S ribosomal RNA". The record is from RNAcentral.